RNAcentral lists this ribosomal RNA (253 nucleotides) under uncultured bacterium. RNAcentral's name for it is "partial 16S ribosomal RNA". It matches the Rfam family "Bacterial small subunit ribosomal RNA", at positions 524 to 776 of the family's 1533-position model. The record is from RNAcentral.
UACGCAGGUGGCAAGCGUUGUCCGGAUUUACUGGGCGUAAAGGGCGUGCAGGCGGUUUGUUAAGUUCAGGGUGAAAGCUCCCGGCUCAACUGGGAGAGGUCCUUGGAUACUGGCAGACUUGAGGAGGGUAGAGGAGAGUGGAAUUCCCGGUGUAGUGGUGAUAUGCGUAGAUAUCGGGAGGAACACCAGUGGCGAAGGCGGCUCUCUGGGCCCUACCUGACGCUGAGACGCGAAAGCGUGGGGAGCGAACCGG